RNAcentral lists this ribosomal RNA (254 nucleotides) under uncultured bacterium. Its description in RNAcentral is "partial 16S ribosomal RNA". It matches the Rfam family "Bacterial small subunit ribosomal RNA", at positions 524 to 776 of the family's 1533-position model. The record is from RNAcentral.
UACGUAGGGCGCGAGCGUUGUCCGGAAUUAUUGGGCGUAAAGAGCUCGUAGGCGGUGUGUCGCGUCGGCCGUGAAAACCUGCAGCUUAACUGUGGGCUUGCGGUCGAUACGGGCAUCACUGGAGUUCGGCAGGGGAGACUGGAAUUCCCGGUGUAGUGGUGGAAUGCGUAGAUAUCGGGAGGAACACCAGUGGCGCAGGCGGCGUCCUGGACCGGCACUGACGCUGAGGAGCGAAAGCGUGGGGAGCGAUCCGG